RNAcentral lists this small RNA (28 nucleotides) under Arabidopsis thaliana (thale cress). Its description in RNAcentral is "ATSL007900". Lineage: Eukaryota; Viridiplantae; Streptophyta; Magnoliopsida; Brassicales; Brassicaceae. The record is from RNAcentral.
GGCGUGUGGGCUUACACCUCUCAAGUCG